This 70-nucleotide transfer RNA is filed under the name Oreolalax omeimontis (Omei lazy toad). Its description in RNAcentral is "tRNA-Gly". It matches the Rfam family "tRNA". From Rfam's summary of the family: Transfer RNA (tRNA) molecules are approximately 80 nucleotides in length. Their secondary structure includes four short double-helical elements and three loops (D, anti-codon, and T loops). Further hydrogen bonds mediate the characteristic L-shaped molecular structure. tRNAs have two regions of fundamental functional importance: the anti-codon, which is responsible for specific mRNA codon recognition, and the 3' end, to which the tRNAs corresponding amino acid is attached (by aminoacyl-tRNA synthetases). tRNAs cope with the degeneracy of the genetic code in two manners: having more than one tRNA (with a specific anti-codon) for a particular amino acid; and 'wobble' base-pairing, i.e. permitting non-standard base-pairing at the 3rd anti-codon position. The record is from RNAcentral. Lineage: Eukaryota; Metazoa; Chordata; Amphibia; Anura; Megophryidae.
AUCUUCUUAGUAUCAAAUAGUAUAAGUGAUUUCCACUCACAUGGCCUCGGUUUAAACCCGGGAGAAGAUA